UGCUGCUUUGCUGACGAGUGGCGGACGGGUGAGUAAUGUCUGGGAAACUGCCUGAUGGAGGGGGAUAACUACUGGAAACGGUGGCUAAUACCGCAUAACGUCGCAAGACCAAAGAGGGGGACCUUCGGGCCUCUUGCCAUCAGAUGUGCCCAGAUGGGAUUAGCUUGUUGGUGAGGUAACGGCUCACCAAGGCGACGAUCCCUAGCUGGUCUGAGAGGAUGACCAGCCACACUGGAACUGAGACACGGUCCAGACUCCUACGGGAGGCAGCAGUGGGGAAUAUUGCACAAUGGGCGCAAGCCUGAUGCAGCCAUGCCGCGUGUAUGAAGAAGGCCUUCGGGUUGUAAAGUACUUUCAGCGGGGAGGAAGGUGUUGCGGUUAAUAACCGCAGCAAUUGACGUUACCCGCAGAAGAAGCACCGGCUAACUCCGUGCCAGCAGCCGCGGUAAUACGGAGGGUGCAAGCGUUAAUCGGAAUUACUGGGCGUAAAGCGCACGCAGGCGGUCUGUCAAGUCGGAUGUGAAAUCCCCGGGCUCAACCUGGGAACUGCAUUCGAAACUGGCAGGCUUGAGUCUUGUAGAGGGGGGUAGAAUUCCAGGUGUAGCGGUGAAAUGCGUAAAGAUCUGGAGGAAUACCGGUGGCGAAGGCGGCCCCCUGGACAAAGACUGACGCUCAGGUGCGAAAGCGUGGGGAGC
Molecule: ribosomal RNA, 695 nt
Filed under: uncultured bacterium
Lineage: Bacteria
Description: bacterial SSU rRNA
Rfam family: Bacterial small subunit ribosomal RNA
Source: RNAcentral